RNAcentral lists this ribosomal RNA (467 nucleotides) under unidentified nematode Sourhope farm. Its description in RNAcentral is "SSU rRNA". It matches the Rfam family "Eukaryotic small subunit ribosomal RNA", at positions 58 to 529 of the family's 1831-position model. Lineage: Eukaryota; Metazoa; Nematoda. The record is from RNAcentral.
UCUAAGCAGAGCCCUUGAAUGGUAAAGCCGCGAAUGGCUCAUUACAACAGCCACAGUUUAUUGGGUCUCCAUUUACUUGGAUAACUGAGCUUAUUGUUGAGCUAAUACACGCACCAAAGCUUCGACCUCACGGGAGGAGCGCAUUUAUUAGAACAAAACCAAUCGGACUUCGGUCCGUCCAUUGGUGAAUCUAAAUAACUUAGCCGAUCGCAUGGUCUCGCACCGGCGACUCACCUUUCAAAUGUCUGCCUUAUCACCUUUCGAUGGUAGUUUAUACGCCUACCAUGGGUUUUACGGGUAACGGAGAAUAAGGGUUCGACUCCGGAGAGGGAGCCUGAGAAACGGCUACCACAUCCAAGGAAGGCAGCAGGCACGCAAAUUACCCACUCCCGGCACGGGGAGGUAGUGACGAAAAAUAACGAGACGGUUCUCUAUGAGGUCCGCCAUCGGAAUGGGUACAAUCUAAA